GGGCUCCUUCGGGAGCACCGGCGGACUGCUCAGUAACACGUGGACAACCUACCCUCGGGUGGGGGAUAACCUCGGGAAACUGAGGCUAAUACCCCAUAGGCCUCGGAUACUGGAAGGUUCCGAGACCGAAAGCUCCGGCGCCCGAGGAUGGGUCUGCGGCCUAUCAGGUAGUUGGUGGUGUAAAGGACCACCAAGCCUACGACGGGUACGGGCCCUGAGAGGGGGAGCCCGGAGAUGGACUCUGAGACACGAGUCCAGGCCCUACGGGGCGCAGCAGGCGCGAAACCUUCGCAAUGCGCGAAAGCGCGACGAGGGGAGCCCGAGUGCCCUUCCUUUCGGGAGGGCUUUUCUGGAGCCUAAAAAGCUCCAGGAAUAAGGGCUGGGCAAGACGGGUGCCAGCCGCCGCGGUAAUACCCGCAGCUCGAGUGGUGGCCACUAUUAUUGAGCCUAAAGCGUCCGUAGCCGG
Molecule: ribosomal RNA, 466 nt
Filed under: uncultured archaeon
Lineage: Archaea
Description: bacterial SSU rRNA
Rfam family: Archaeal small subunit ribosomal RNA
Source: RNAcentral